CCACCUGUCGGCAGUUUAUGGUCAAGCUCCAGAUUCAGCAGGAAUUAAGGCAACUCACCGCAUCUCAUGGAGAGAAGACUUCACGCUGCCAGGACGAUGGUCAUUAUAGAUUGCCCUUUCUUCCAAAUCCAUUUGGCAUUGGUGGUCAACUGAAUGAGACAAGGAUUCUUAGAGGAGAGAAAGCAGAAACCUCCCUUAUACCAAUUCUUCAUCUGGAUGUGAACCCACAUUGAAACACUUGAAAAUUUUGAUAAAAAUAUCUUCUCUCGCCUCAAAAUAGAAAUGCAAAUUUUGAAAGCCUGACAGUUUUUUAAAAUGAGUUCUGGAAAAACAGCUCUUGUCAAAGCAAAAUGUCUCUGUUCAAAAGCAUCUAGAAGUGCUGCAAAAUUUUACCUCCCUCUAAAAGGUUGCAAGAUUCUCUCUUUUUAAACUUUUAGACUUUUGUUCAUGGUUACUGAUCCAAUCUAAGGUGAAACUGUUAAAUUUCUGGGAAGACUUGGUGACAUUUCAAAGUAUUCUUAUUGCUGUCUCUACACAAGAAAACCUGUGUGCUCAUGUUCCUUUGUUUAAUGUCUCAUUCAGAUUUUAAAAAUAAAUGUUAAAAAAUCAGCA
Molecule: long non-coding RNA, 612 nt
Filed under: Vulpes vulpes (red fox)
Lineage: Eukaryota; Metazoa; Chordata; Mammalia; Carnivora; Canidae
Description: lncRNA (ENSVVUG00000013984.1)
Source: RNAcentral